Molecule: unclassified non-coding RNA, 675 nt
Filed under: Hevea brasiliensis (rubber tree)
Lineage: Eukaryota; Viridiplantae; Streptophyta; Magnoliopsida; Malpighiales; Euphorbiaceae
Source: RNAcentral
CCAUCUGCCUUGCAUAUACUCGAAACUCAUCCAAACUCUUAUCAUCAACUUCACUGCUACCUUUCAUCUUCCUGUAUUCCUCCAACAUAUUUUCUACCUCAUCCCGGGACACCCAAUUUUUCUCUCUAAAUUCACCCAUCAACUUCUCCAGAUUUUCGCUUGUGCCACUCACUUCCUUCAACUUCAACUGCAAUUCCUCCACUUUAUCAUCCAUCUUCACACUCAAUUCAUCCCUCACAUUCCUAAUCCCCGUAUCCAGUUUUUGAUCAAUCACAUCAAUUUGCACUUGCAUCAUUUUCGUAGUUUUCUUAACAAACGACUCCAUUUCAGCGAAUUUCCCAUCGAAAUCCCCAGAAAUUACAGCGAGACCAUCAGAGUCGCUCGUUUGAUAGGAAUUCCCCACAAGUCUACGAACCAUCUGAACUAAACCAAUUAACACAAUCACCAACAAUAAAUUCUUAGUAACAACACUAACCACAGUCAACCACCUCGGCUUAGGCGUCUUGGUGUGCUUCUUCACUGCUGAUGCCGAACCGCUAGGGCGACGUGUAGAGGAUGUUGGAACAUUGGUAUGGGGCAAUGUUUUCUUCACCACUUGAAUCGCAUCUCUGCUAUCGCUUCUGUAGGAAACAUUUGGGGUGGAGAUUGGAUCCGCUGCCGCUGCCGCUGCCGCUG